ACACGGGGGGCGCAAGCGUUAUUCGGAAUUAUUGGGCGUAAAGGGCGUGUAGGCGGUUUUAUCGGUCAGAUGUGAAAGCCCAGGGCUCAACCCUGGGCGUGCAUUUGAAACAGUAAGACUUGAGUACGGUAGAGGAAAGCGGAAUUCCUGGUGUAGAGGUGAAAUUCGUAGAUAUCAGGAGGAACACCGAUGGCGAAGGCAGCUUUCUGGACCGAAACUGACGCUGAUGCGCGAAGGCGUGGGUAGCGAACAGGAUUAGAAACCCCUGUAGUCC
Molecule: ribosomal RNA, 274 nt
Filed under: uncultured bacterium
Lineage: Bacteria
Description: partial 16S ribosomal RNA
Rfam family: Bacterial small subunit ribosomal RNA
Source: RNAcentral